ACGAACGCUGGCGGCGUGCUUAACACAUGCAAGUCGAACGGUGAAGCGCCUUCCUUUUUGGUGGGUGUGGAUGAGUGGCGAACGGGUGAGUAACACGUGAGUAACCUGCCCCCUUCUUCUGGAUAACCGCAUGAAAGUGUGGGUAAUACGGGAUAUUCUGGGUCUGUCGCAUGAUGGGUCUGGGAAAGAUAUUGUUUCGGUGGGGGAUGGGCUCGCGGCCUAUCAGCUUGUUGGUGGGGUGAUGGCCUACCAAGGCGGUGACGGGUAGCCGGCCUGAGAGGGUGGACGGUCACACUGGGACUGAGACACGGCCCAGACUCCUACGGGAGGCAGCAGUGGGGAAUAUUGCACAAUGGGCGCAAGCCUGAUGCAGCGACGCCGCGUGAGGGAUGGAGGCCUUCGGGUUGUGAACCUCUUUCGCCAGUGAAGCAGGCCUGCCUCGUUUGUGGGUGGGUUGACGGUAGCUGGAUAAGAAGCGCCGGCUAACUACGUG
This 493-nucleotide ribosomal RNA is filed under the name uncultured bacterium. RNAcentral's name for it is "partial 16S ribosomal RNA". It matches the Rfam family "Bacterial small subunit ribosomal RNA", at positions 29 to 507 of the family's 1533-position model. The record is from RNAcentral.